Schistocerca americana (American grasshopper) is the source of this 374-nucleotide long non-coding RNA. RefSeq lists it as uncharacterized. The transcript has 4 exons. The record is from RefSeq and is a predicted model, not a curated record. Lineage: Eukaryota; Metazoa; Arthropoda; Insecta; Orthoptera; Acrididae.
AAUACGUGUCUUUGGUCCAGAGGGUCCUGAUGGCAAAGAACCGAGCAAAUUAGUGGUGCGAGGAUACAAGUGAGUUGGCUUCCAUUCGGACGUCUACGAUGAGACGAUGGACAGGGUGAAAGGCCUCGGCGUUGAUACCGAGUGCACUGGUGGUGGCAGAAUACAGCACGACCCCAGUGCCAACGUCAUCAAAGCGUACAGCUACUCACAGGGGUUUGGGAAGGCAGACCACAGCAAGAAUGUAGAAAUUCUGAAGACUGCAUAUCCUGUUUACAACAUUACUUGGAGUGAUGAAGGAUACUGAUCUGCUCAGGUUGUAAUAUUUGACAUUGCAGCUUUUGAAAAUGGAGCAGGAUGUUGUGCCCUCUUUCCUA